This 2902-nucleotide ribosomal RNA is filed under the name Klebsiella pneumoniae. RNAcentral describes it as "23S ribosomal RNA". It matches the Rfam family "Bacterial large subunit ribosomal RNA". Lineage: Bacteria; Pseudomonadati; Pseudomonadota; Gammaproteobacteria; Enterobacterales; Enterobacteriaceae. The record is from RNAcentral.
GGUUAAGCGACUAAGCGUACACGGUGGAUGCCCUGGCAGUCAGAGGCGAUGAAGGACGUGCUAAUCUGCGAAAAGCGUCGGUAAGGUGAUAUGAACCGUUAUAACCGGCGAUGUCCGAAUGGGGAAACCCAGUGUGAUUCGUCACACUAUCGUUAACUGAAUACAUAGGUUAACGAGGCGAACCGGGGGAACUGAAACAUCUAAGUACCCCGAGGAAAAGAAAUCAACCGAGAUUCCCCCAGUAGCGGCGAGCGAACGGGGAGCAGCCCAGAGUCUGAAUCAGCUUGUGUGUUAGUGGAACGGUCUGGAAAGUCCGACGGUACAGGGUGAUAGUCCCGUACACCAAAAUGCACAGGCUGUGAACUCGAAGAGUAGGGCGGGACACGUGGUAUCCUGUCUGAAUAUGGGGGGACCAUCCUCCAAGGCUAAAUACUCCUGACUGACCGAUAGUGAACCAGUACCGUGAGGGAAAGGCGAAAAGAACCCCGGCGAGGGGAGUGAAAAAGAACCUGAAACCGUGUACGUACAAGCAGUGGGAGCACCUUCGGGUGUGACUGCGUACCUUUUGUAUAAUGGGUCAGCGACUUAUAUUCUGUAGCAAGGUUAACCGUAUAGGGGAGCCGCAGGGAAACCGAGUCUUAACUGGGCGUUAAGUUGCAGGGUAUAGACCCGAAACCCGGUGAUCUAGCCAUGGGCAGGUUGAAGGUUGGGUAACACUAACUGGAGGACCGAACCGACUAAUGUUGAAAAAUUAGCGGAUGACUUGUGGCUGGGGGUGAAAGGCCAAUCAAACCGGGAGAUAGCUGGUUCUCCCCGAAAGCUAUUUAGGUAGCGCCUCGUGAAUUCAUCUUCGGGGGUAGAGCACUGUUUCGGCUAGGGGGUCAUCCCGACUUACCAACCCGAUGCAAACUACGAAUACCGAAGAAUGUUAUCACGGGAGACACACGGCGGGUGCUAACGUCCGUCGUGAAGAGGGAAACAACCCAGACCGCCAGCUAAGGUCCCAAAGUCAUGGUUAAGUGGGAAACGAUGUGGGAAGGCACAGACAGCCAGGAUGUUGGCUUAGAAGCAGCCAUCAUUUAAAGAAAGCGUAAUAGCUCACUGGUCGAGUCGGCCUGCGCGGAAGAUGUAACGGGGCUAAACCAUGCACCGAAGCUGCGGCAGCGACACUAUGUGUUGUUGGGUAGGGGAGCGUUCUGUAAGCCUGCGAAGGUGUGCUGUGAGGCAUGCUGGAGGUAUCAGAAGUGCGAAUGCUGACAUAAGUAACGAUAAAGCGGGUGAAAAGCCCGCUCGCCGGAAGACCAAGGGUUCCUGUCCAACGUUAAUCGGGGCAGGGUGAGUCGACCCCUAAGGCGAGGCCGAAAGGCGUAGUCGAUGGGAAACAGGUUAAUAUUCCUGUACUUGGUGUUACUGCGAAGGGGGGACGGAGAAGGCUAUGUUAGCCGGGCGACGGUUGUCCCGGUUUAAGCAUGUAGGCUGGUUGUCCAGGCAAAUCCGGAUAAUCAAGGCUGAGGUGUGAUGACGAGGCACUACGGUGCUGAAGUAACAAAUGCCCUGCUUCCAGGAAAAGCCUCUAAGCAUCAGGUAACAUCAAAUCGUACCCCAAACCGACACAGGUGGUCAGGUAGAGAAUACCAAGGCGCUUGAGAGAACUCGGGUGAAGGAACUAGGCAAAAUGGUGCCGUAACUUCGGGAGAAGGCACGCUGGUGUGUAGGUGAAGUCCCUGCGGAUGGAGCUGAGACCAGUCGAAGAUACCAGCUGGCUGCAACUGUUUAUUAAAAACACAGCACUGUGCAAACACGAAAGUGGACGUAUACGGUGUGACGCCUGCCCGGUGCCGGAAGGUUAAUUGAUGGGGUUAUCCGUAAGGAGAAGCUCUUGAUCGAAGCCCCGGUAAACGGCGGCCGUAACUAUAACGGUCCUAAGGUAGCGAAAUUCCUUGUCGGGUAAGUUCCGACCUGCACGAAUGGCGUAAUGAUGGCCAGGCUGUCUCCACCCGAGACUCAGUGAAAUUGAACUCGCUGUGAAGAUGCAGUGUACCCGCGGCAAGACGGAAAGACCCCGUGAACCUUUACUAUAGCUUGACACUGAACAUUGAGCCUUGAUGUGUAGGAUAGGUGGGAGGCUUUGAAGCGUGGACGCCAGUCUGCGUGGAGCCAACCUUGAAAUACCACCCUUUAAUGUUUGAUGUUCUAACGUUGGCCCCUGACCGGGGUUGCGGACAGUGUCUGGUGGGUAGUUUGACUGGGGCGGUCUCCUCCCAAAGCGUAACGGAGGAGCACGAAGGUUAGCUAAUCCUGGUCGGACAUCAGGAGGUUAGUGCAAUGGCAUAAGCUAGCUUGACUGCGAGCGUGACGGCGCGAGCAGGUGCGAAAGCAGGUCAUAGUGAUCCGGUGGUUCUGAAUGGAAGGGCCAUCGCUCAACGGAUAAAAGGUACUCCGGGGAUAACAGGCUGAUACCGCCCAAGAGUUCAUAUCGACGGCGGUGUUUGGCACCUCGAUGUCGGCUCAUCACAUCCUGGGGCUGAAGUAGGUCCCAAGGGUAUGGCUGUUCGCCAUUUAAAGUGGUACGCGAGCUGGGUUUAGAACGUCGUGAGACAGUUCGGUCCCUAUCUGCCGUGGGCGCUGGAGAAUUGAGGGGGGCUGCUCCUAGUACGAGAGGACCGGAGUGGACGCAUCACUGGUGUUCGGGUUGUCAUGCCAAUGGCACUGCCCGGUAGCUAAAUGCGGAAGAGAUAAGUGCUGAAAGCAUCUAAGCACGAAACUUGCCCCGAGAUGAGUUCUCCCUGAGACUUUAAGUCUCCUGAAGGAACGUUAAAGACGAUGACGUUGAUAGGCCGGGUGUGUAAGCGCAGCGAUGCGUUGAGCUAACCGGUACUAAUGAACCGUGAGGCUUAACCUU